RNAcentral lists this ribosomal RNA (497 nucleotides) under uncultured bacterium. Its description in RNAcentral is "partial 16S ribosomal RNA". It matches the Rfam family "Bacterial small subunit ribosomal RNA", at positions 28 to 507 of the family's 1533-position model. The record is from RNAcentral.
GAUGAACGCUGGCGGCGUGCCUAAUACAUGCAAGUCGAGCGAACGGACGAGAAGCUUGCUUCUCUGAUGUUAGCGGCGGACGGGUGAGUAACACGUGGAUAACCUACCUAUAAGACUGGGAUAACUUCGGGAAACCGGAGCUAAUACCGGAUAAUAUUUUGAACCGCAUGGUUCAAAAGUGAAAGACGGUCUUGCUGUCACUUAUAGAUGGAUCCGCGCUGCAUUAGCUAGUUGGUAAGGUAACGGCUUACCAAGGCAACGAUGCAUAGCCGACCUGAGAGGGUGAUCGGCCACACUGGAACUGAGACACGGUCCAGACUCCUACGGGAGGCAGCAGUAGGGAAUCUUGCGCAAUGGGCGAAAGCCUGACGGAGCAACGCCGCGUGAGUGAUGAAGGUCCUCGGAUCGUAAAACUCUGUUAUUAGGGAAGAACAUAUGUGUAAGUAACUGUGCACAUCUUGACGGUACCUAAUCAGAAAGCAACGGCUAACUACGUG